RNAcentral lists this ribosomal RNA (609 nucleotides) under uncultured bacterium. RNAcentral's name for it is "bacterial SSU rRNA". It matches the Rfam family "Bacterial small subunit ribosomal RNA", at positions 338 to 956 of the family's 1533-position model. The record is from RNAcentral.
CCUACGGGAGGCAGCAGUGGGGAAUCUUGCGCAAUGGGCGAAAGCCUGACGCAGCAACGCCGCGUGCGGGAAGAAGGCUUUCGGGCUGUAAACCGCUUUCAGCAGGAACGAAAAUGACGGUACCUGCAGAAGAAGGAGCGGCCAACUAUGUGCCAGCAGCCGCGGUGAUACAUAGGCUUCAAGCGUUGUCCGGAUUUAUUGGGCGUAAAGAGUUCGUAGGCGGUCGAGUAAGUCGGGUGUGAAAAUUCUGGGCUCAACCCAGAGACGCCACCCGAUACUGCUUGACUUGAGUUCGAUAGGGGAGUGGGGAAUUCCUAGUGUAGCGGUGAAAUGCGCAGAUAUUAGGAGGAACACCGGUGGCGAAGGCGCCACUCUGGAUCGAUACUGACGCUGAGGAACGAAAGCAUGGGUAGCAAACAGGAUUAGAUACCCUGGUAGUCCAUGCCGUAAACGGUGGGCACUAGGUGUGGGUUUCUAUUAACGAAAUCCGCGCCGUCGCUAACGCAUUAAAGUGCCCCGCCUGGGGGAGGUACGGUCGCGAGAACUAAACUAACAAAGAAGUAGACGGACGNGAGACGUAGCGAACGACGACGACGAGGGAGGUAGGAG